This 376-nucleotide ribosomal RNA is filed under the name uncultured bacterium. RNAcentral's name for it is "bacterial SSU rRNA". It matches the Rfam family "Bacterial small subunit ribosomal RNA", at positions 524 to 898 of the family's 1533-position model. The record is from RNAcentral.
UACGUAGGAAGCAAGCGUUAUCCGAAUUUACUGGGCGUAAAGUGGGCGUAGGCGGCCUUUCAAGUUGGAUGUGAAAUCUCCUGGCUUAACUGGGAGGGGUCAUCCAAUACUGCUAGGCUUGAGGACAGCAGGAGAAAGUGGAAUUCCCGGUGUAGUGGUGAAAUGCGUAGAUAUCGGGAGGAACACCAGUGGCGAAGGCGGCUUUCUAGGCUGUUUCUGACGCUGAGGCCCUAAAGUGUGGGGAGCGAACAGGAUUAGAUACCCUGGUAGUCCACACCUUAAACUAUGAAUACUUGGUAUAGGGAGUUUCGACCCUCUCUGUGCCGAAGCUAACGCUUUAAGUAUUCCGCCUGGGAACUACGGCCGCAAGGCUAAA